AGGACAUCCUUUUAUCUGGUCCGAAACAGAAGAAACGAAGGUUCAACCUCUCUGAACACAGUUCACAGCACACCCAAGUGCCAGCGAUCUCCACUUCCACUAUUCCAUACUACCAGUCAACCACCAUGGAAGAAUUGGGCUCCUCUCAUGAAAAAACUGAGAGUGAGUCCUCUCAUUGUCGUAAGCCCCAUUUGCCAUCUGGAUCAUACCUAUCUAAGAAACCUUCCUAUAAGGUUUAUUGCAAGGCUGAUCCUAAUUUUUUUCUCACGAUCAGAGAUGGGAAAGUGGUUCUAGCACCUCCAGAUCCAUCUGAUGAGUUCCAACACUGGUACAAAGACGAGAAAUUCAGCACAAUGGUAAAGGAUGAGGAAGGCUUUCCCUCCUUUGCUUUGGUUAAUAAAGCCA
Molecule: unclassified non-coding RNA, 405 nt
Filed under: Hevea brasiliensis (rubber tree)
Lineage: Eukaryota; Viridiplantae; Streptophyta; Magnoliopsida; Malpighiales; Euphorbiaceae
Source: RNAcentral